Bos taurus (domestic cattle) is the source of this 498-nucleotide long non-coding RNA. The record is from Ensembl. NCBI's taxonomy places the organism in Eukaryota, Metazoa, Chordata, Mammalia, Artiodactyla, Bovidae.
CCCGUGGACAACAGCCCACCAGGCUCCUCUGUCCACAGGAUUCCCCAGGCAAGAAUACUGAAGUGGGUUGCCAUUUCUUCUCCAAGGAUAAAUAUACUGCAGGAAAUAAAACUCAUGAGAAAAGUCACAUGCUACUGAAAACUGGUUGAUUUGGGGAGAAGGGUUGCUGGAUGAAGAGAGCUCCUGGAUUGAGGUCAUGUCCAUGAAGAGAGAGGCAGAUGAGCAAACUGAUGUCAAGGUCAUACAACUACUGAAUGGCGGAAUCCAGAUUUCAUUCCCGGCAAACAGAGUCCAGAGCCCUAAAACUUCAACCAUUAUAUACACUGUGAAGAUAUUUCAUUAAAUACAGAUGGAAUUAAAUCAUCUGACAUUAGAGACAAAGGAAAUUCUGAGAUUAUUGAUUUCCAUCAUGAAACAGAUAUAGAAACUGAAGCUAAGACUUGGAAGUGUCUUGGUUCAGGUGAUUUAUAUAAUUGCAGAAACGUAUCUGCACAAGGC